UGGUAGUGGGGGAUAACGUCCGGAAACGGGCGCUAAUACCGCAUACGUCCUGAGGGAGAAAGUGGGGGAUCUUCGGACCUCACGCUAUCAGAUGAGCCUAGGUCGGAUUAGCUAGUUGGUGGGGUAAAGGCCUACCAAGGCGACGAUCCGUAACUGGUCUGAGAGGAUGAUCAGUCACACUGGAACUGAGACACGGUCCAGACUCCUACGGGAGGCAGCAGUGGGGAAUAUUGGACAAUGGGCGAAAGCCUGAUCCAGCCAUGCCGCGUGUGUGAAGAAGGUCUUCGGAUUGUAAAGCACUUUAAGUUGGGAGGAAGGGCAGUAAGUUAAUACCUUGCUGUUUUGACGUUACCAACAGAAUAAGCACCGGCUAACUUCGUGCCAGCAGCCGCGGUAAUACGAAGGGUGCAAGCGUUAAUCGGAAUUACUGGGCGUAAAGCGCGCGUAGGUGGUUCAGCAAGUUGGAUGUGAAAUCCCCGGGCUCAACCUGGGAACUGCAUCCAAAACUACUGAGCUAGAGUACGGUAGAGGGUGGUGGAAUUUCCUGUGUAGCGGUGAAAUGCGUAGAUAUAGGAAGGAACACCAGUGGCGAAGGCGACCACCUGGACUGAUACUGACACUGAGGUGCGAAAGCGUGGGGAGCAAAC
Molecule: ribosomal RNA, 647 nt
Filed under: uncultured Pseudomonadaceae bacterium
Lineage: Bacteria; Pseudomonadati; Pseudomonadota; Gammaproteobacteria; Pseudomonadales; Pseudomonadaceae
Description: SSU rRNA
Rfam family: Bacterial small subunit ribosomal RNA
Source: RNAcentral